UACAGAGGGUGCGAGCGUUGUUCGGAAUUACUGGGCGUAAAGCGCACGUAGGCGGACUAUUAAGUCAGGGGUGAAAUCCCGGGGCUCAACCCCGGAACUGCCUUUGAUACUGGUAGUCUCGAGUCCGGAAGAGGUGAGUGGAAUUCCGAGUGUAGAAGUGAAAUUCGUAGAUAUUCGGAGGAACACCAGUGGCGAAGGCGGCUCACUGGUCCGGUACUGACGCUGAGGUGCGAAAGCGUGGGGAGCAAACAGG
RNAcentral lists this ribosomal RNA (253 nucleotides) under uncultured bacterium. Its description in RNAcentral is "partial 16S ribosomal RNA". It matches the Rfam family "Bacterial small subunit ribosomal RNA", at positions 524 to 776 of the family's 1533-position model. The record is from RNAcentral.